Molecule: unclassified non-coding RNA, 231 nt
Filed under: Hevea brasiliensis (rubber tree)
Lineage: Eukaryota; Viridiplantae; Streptophyta; Magnoliopsida; Malpighiales; Euphorbiaceae
Source: RNAcentral
CUUUCAGGAGUUGAUAUGUGGCUGUUGCUAAGAUCUAGUUCUGUUUCUAAUUCGGCUUCUUCGUUGGGUCCUGUUGGGCUGGAUUGAGGACUAUUGAAUUGAAUCAUUUUCUCAACGUGAUUUGAUGGGUCAUUAACUUGAGCACAAUUAUCCGUGAGGAGAGAUGUUGCACUGUGUUCAAACGAGCCCUUCACAUCAUUUACAAUUGAACAAUUCAAUUGAGGUUUUUCU